GACGAACCGUGCGAACGUUGUUCGGAAUCACUGGGCUUAAAGGGCGCGUAGGCGGUUCGCCAAGUCUGGGGUGAAAUCUUUCGGCUCAACCGGAAAAUUGCCUGGGAUACUGGCGGGCUCGAGGGAGGUAGGGGUUGCGGGAACUUCCAGUGGAGCGGUGAAAUGCGUUGAUAUUGGAAGGAACGCCAGUGGCGAAAGCGCGUAACUGGACCUCUUCUGACGCUGAGGCGCGAAAGCUAGGGGAGCAAACGGG
Molecule: ribosomal RNA, 253 nt
Filed under: uncultured bacterium
Lineage: Bacteria
Description: partial 16S ribosomal RNA
Rfam family: Bacterial small subunit ribosomal RNA
Source: RNAcentral